Paramuricea clavata is the source of this 946-nucleotide non-coding RNA. The record is from the annotation of a GenBank genome assembly. NCBI's taxonomy places the organism in Eukaryota, Metazoa, Cnidaria, Anthozoa, Malacalcyonacea, Plexauridae.
UUCAGGGCUAUCAAUUGUUUUUGUCACUGGCAGUCUUUGAAAUACAAUCUUGCUCUGUGGCCUUUACUGACAAGUUGGCUUUUACUACAUAUGUGGCACUGACACUUCUUUAAUUAAUGCACCAGUCAAUGUAAACCCCCCAACCAGGGAGGGGCAGGGAUUUUGACUUGGAGGGGUAUUAAAAAAGCGAAAUUGUCCCCGCCCCCAGGGAUGUCAAUGUCCCCUGCAUGUCUCUUAACCCCAGGAAAAUAGUUUUGUAUAAUCAUAGAUCAGCAAUAGAAAAUCAAAUUCAUUUAUGUUGUUGUAUUUAAACUUUUCUUGUCAAGAAAACUAAAACAGCAACACAGGAUAUAUAUGUUAACCACUGUCCAAGUCUCCCAUCAUCGGGGACAAAUUUAUAAUCAAAACUGACCACUUUCCCCGUUAAACCUUCCGCCCCUCCCCGGUUGGGGGCAGGGAUUUACAUUGACUGGUGCAUAACUAGAUGAUUGCAUGAAGCAUUGCAUGGAAGUUGAUUUAUAAUUAGUUUAUGAAUAAACUCACACUUUCAUUAUAAUGGUUGAUCAAAUAUAUCAUAUGCAUUUGAUUGGUGGAUGGUCCCUUAAUGGUAAUGGUGGUCAAAUCUGAACCUAUAUAAUGUCAAUAUGAUUUGAACCUAUAUAAUGUCAAUAUACUGGAAAAGUAUCAAAUUAAAUUUUAAUUGUCAAUGUUGUUGAAAGUAAAUAAAUCAAACAAUUCUGUUUGUUUCAACUAACUAGUUCACUAUCACUUUGGUUUUCAAAUCAAAGAAUCUUUAACCUGGUUGAGCUUUUGAAAAAGUAGCUGAUUGAUUGAACGCAAGAUUAUUUUACUCUGUCUAACGCCAGACAAUUUCACUCGUCAAGGGGAAAGUGCUGCCACUCAGUGAACUCAAUCAGAGCUCAAUGAGCAGCAGCACUCUCCCUCG